UACGGAGGGGGCUAGCGUUGUUCGGAAUUACUGGGCGUAAAGCGCACGUAGGCGGCUUUGCAAGUUAGAGGUGAAAGCCCCGGGGCUCAACUCCGGAAUUGCCUUUAAAACUGCAUCGCUAGAGUUGUGGAGAGGUAAGUGGAAUUCCGAGUGUAGAGGUGAAAUUCGUAGAUAUUCGGAAGAACACCAGUGGCGAAGGCGACUUACUGGACACAUACUGACGCUGAGGUGCGAAAGCGUGGGGAGCAAACAGG
This 254-nucleotide ribosomal RNA is filed under the name uncultured bacterium. RNAcentral's name for it is "partial 16S ribosomal RNA". It matches the Rfam family "Bacterial small subunit ribosomal RNA", at positions 524 to 776 of the family's 1533-position model. The record is from RNAcentral.